AUUGAACGCUGGCGGCAUGCCUAACACAUGCAAGUCGAACGGCAGCACGGCAGUAGCAAUACUGUGGGUGGCGAGUGGCGGACGGGUGAGGAAUACGUCGGAAUCUGCCCAGUCGUGGGGGGAUAACUAGCCGAAAGGUUAGCUAAUACCGCAUACGACCGAGAGGUGAAAGCGGGGGACCGCAAGGCCUCGCGCGAUUGGAUGAGCCGACGUCGGAUUAGCUAGUUGGUGGGGUAAAGGCCCACCAAGGCGACGAUCCGUAGCUGGUCUGAGAGGAUGAUCAGCCACACUGGAACUGAGACACGGUCCAGACUCCUACGGGAGGCAGCAGUGGGGAAUAUUGGACAAUGGGCGCAAGCCUGAUCCAGCAAUGCCGCGUGUGUGAAGAAGGCCUCGGUGUAAGACACUUUAUCUAGACGAAAGACGUGGAGUUAUACUCUGACGUGCUGACGGUACCGUCG
Molecule: ribosomal RNA, 461 nt
Filed under: uncultured bacterium
Lineage: Bacteria
Description: bacterial SSU rRNA
Rfam family: Bacterial small subunit ribosomal RNA
Source: RNAcentral